GACGAACGCUGGCGGCGUGCUUAACACAUGCAAGUCGAACGGAAAGUCCCGGCUUUUGUGCGGUGCUCGAGUUGCGACCGGGUGAGUAACACGUGAGUAACCUAUCCCUCACUUUGGGAUAACUUCAUGACACUGGGGCUAAUCCCAGCUAGGAUCUCUUGCUGCUUGGUGGGGGUGGGUAAGUUUCGGCGGUUGGGGAUGUACUCGCGGCUUAGCAGCUUGUUGGUGGGGUAGUGGCUUACCAAGGCUUUGACGGCUAGCCGGACUGAGAGGGUGACCGGCAACAUUGGGACUGAGACACGGACCAGACUCCUACGGGAGGGAGAAGUGGGGAAGAUUGCACAAUGGGCGGAAGCCUGAUGCAGCAACGCCGCGUGCGGGAGGACGGCCUUCGGGUUGGAAACCGCUUUCGCCUGUGACGAAGAGUGAGUGACGGUAAUGGGUAAAGAAGCACCGGCUAACUACGUG
This 468-nucleotide ribosomal RNA is filed under the name uncultured bacterium. RNAcentral describes it as "partial 16S ribosomal RNA". It matches the Rfam family "Bacterial small subunit ribosomal RNA", at positions 28 to 507 of the family's 1533-position model. The record is from RNAcentral.